CUAACUUGACCACGACUCACGCAACACGUGACCCCUGAACUCCCUGACGUGAUGACGUAGGACGUCGCAGACUGUAGCGACAACAGGUGUGACAGGUGGCGACAAAAAGACACGAUUAAGAAACGAAUAAAAAACUGAAGAUUAAGAAAAGAAUAAGGAGAGAAAAGCUGACGAAGCCACAAUUGAAAAAGAAACGUUUCAUGCAAUGUGUUUACAACAAGAAGAUUAGAAGUUGAGGUAAUGAGACAGGAGCAGCAGCAGCCAGGGGACCAGUGUCGUGUUCUGGUGGUGAAGAAGAUGGAGAACCAAACAACCGCCAUGAUGAACCCAUAACUCCUGAGGGCACAGGUCUUGGCUCGUCACUUCUCUUGGCUCCUUUGGGCCUGUGUUUGUAGUCUAGUUCGCUCUCAUGCCUUUCAAACACUGACACUGCUGUUUCUGUUUCCUCAGUACACACAAACACACACACACAAACGCAUACAUUCACCUAAAAAAAUCUCUUAUAUGUGUCUUUACUACAGUAGCGCUCGUGAAGAGAGGAAUCACUGCAGAAGAUAUCAUGUCAGUACUGGUCUCGGGCUUAAACAUGGUUCUAGCACUUUAGAUGGGGACUUGAACCCAAGUUGCUCUUAAACUACAUCUUCAUCCACUUUGACAUGUGACCUGAAUUAAUCUUUAUUAACAAACGAUGUUUGUUCAAUGUGUAUCGCCCACUGGCUGAUGCGGGGGGAUGGUAUGUUUAGUUUUUGCUCAAUGUCAGAUACAUAUACAGAAACGGACGUGGCUUUCUGUCUGCACUUUGCGUUCAUUUCAUCCGUUUUGGUGCACGUCUUCUGAAAGUUUACGGAUAUGGACGAAACAGAUGAAACGGAGCACUACCACCGGAAAUCGUGGGGAGGCACUGUAGCCAAUAGUUGAAGAGAUACGACCAGACAAGAGGAAGAAAUAUCAACAACUUUUUGAGGAGAGACUUUGCGAGUUGGUAAGUUACCACAUGAGGUUACUUCACCCAGGCACAUGGACAAACAGCCACUUUUGCCUCUGAGGUACACUAUCACAGCCCACUCCACCAUGGAUAUAUUUGUUGUUCUCAGAAACUCUCGACUCUGUGCUGCCCUCUAGCGGAUGUAUUGCAUAAUGACCAUGUCAAUGUAAAGAACGCAUGGAAGUAUGUAUGUGCGCAGUCUUACUUUAUUGUGAAACUCUUUUUGUUCUUAAAGGCAGCUUCCAUUAGAACCAACCAAUAAGUGACUAAUACCUAGAACUAAACAUAAUAAAUUCAAGGUGCAGUGUUAAACACAUUCAGCUUCAUGUAAAUUUGAAAAAACACCUAGACGGGUCAGUGUCAUAGAGUUUAAGAAUGAUGUAGGUGGCCUGGUAACUUUGUUUAAACAUCUGAUGUUUGCUUAAACCAUUAACGUGUCUCCAUGGCAACACAAAGUGCUUUCCUUGACAGAUAUUUGCAAAGUCAUGAGGCCGGUUAUGAGAGGUUUUCUCAGUCUGUAUUGCUGCUUCUGUUUAUUAGCUGUUGAAAACAUUGAGUCAUGUCCUAUUUUUAGAUUAUUUGCAACAAUAAUCAAUCUGCAUUCAAAUGUUGCUGUUAAACCUGAACUUGACUUAUUUUUUUUGGCCUCUGGGAAAUGAUUGCUGAUUUCUUGUAGUAUUUUGGGACUUUUAAAAUAAAUACAUUCAAACACCUAGUCACUGAAUCUGCAGCCCUACACUCAAGACUCGAGUCAUUUACAAAGACUGACGUCAAAGCACUAAAACAGCUUUGCUCCAGUACUUUUACCUCAUCACUUCCCUUCUUCAAUCCCUUUCUUUUCUUUUACACAUAUCUCAUUCUGCAUUCUUUCCAUCUUCCUCUUGCUUUCAAUUAUCCUCUACCCUUCAUCAUCCCCUCUUCCUCAUACCACCUUUCCCUGCUCACCCUCCCUCUGUUCUCCGUCUUCCCCUCGUCCUCCUCCUCUGCCUGCCUUCCCUCCUCCUCCUUUUCGCUGUCCUCUUCAGCCGUCCGGCUAAACUUAGAAGUGACAACAGUUGCAGGGUGACACCAAAGGCUAAAUAAGACCAGAACAAUAGCUUCUCCCCCCUCCUCCUCUCCUACUCUCACCCCCUUAUCUGCCCCUUUAAUAGACUGCCAUUGUUCUCUCCUUCCACUGUUGCUCUUUCAGGGAGUUUGUUAGCUAUGCUAAUGAAGGCUGGGCUUGUGUGGGUUUAGCGAGUGGGGAUUUGAUGCUCUUUAACUGGGCACUUUUAGAAAGGAGAAGCCAUCAUAAGGGUGGACCGGGCAGCUAUUUACCACCAGUCAAAUGUCACAGGCGCGAUGCAGCAGCACUUUCUUCUAUUUAGUAUCUUGCACAUUGAAACUGUCACAACCAGCAAAGAAAGAAGGAAUCGUCCAAGAUACUGUACCACUGGUCCUCGAAUGCACCACGUACUAUAUGUGUCAGCACGUCAGAGUCCUUGUAGAAAAAAAGAGUCGAGUAAGACAAGAUGUGGAGACUACAGUAGAGCAGUCAGUCAUCCAAUCAGUCAGUAAGUCUGUAAAUAGCCUGGCUCCUUUGAGCUUUCCUCUAAGAGGAAUUCUCUUUCUCCUUAGUGUAUUAAUAGUGCCUGUGCAUUGUUUCCUACAGCAGCACUACUGCAAUCAAAGGAAGUUGGCCUGCCAAGUAUACAAAUAUUUUCCUUUGUCCCUAUGUUUAGCAGGCAUGUAAGAGUCAGAAGUGUGUUCAUGGAGGUGGGUGCACGUGUGUGUGUCUCAGCCAACAAGUAUGUGCAUGCUCGUGGGCAUUAUGUCAGGUUGUAUGUUUAUUUAUAUGUGUAAUCUAAUAUGUACAGUGAUGCAUCCUUUAAUUGUUUGUGUGUGAGUGUGUCUGAAAGCCACUCGUGACCUGCGUGACCCUGUAUCUGAGAGGUCAUGUGCUUGGCUGGUUAUUGUUGUGUUGGUAUGCUGUCUGAUGAAAUACAUGCUAAUCUACUUCACAUGGGCAAGUGUUGUGUUCACAGGUAUGUAGGCAGGUGAUGUAGUGUCUGAAUCUCUCGCUGCUUUCAGACGUGCACUGAACUUCCAGAGGGGCUGUACGUGAGAACACAAAUUUUUGAGUCAGUUGCUCUGGACAUUUUCUGGAACUUUUCCUGCCAGGCCUCUAGUAUAAUGUUUGGAAAAU
Molecule: long non-coding RNA, 3170 nt
Organism: Hippoglossus stenolepis (Pacific halibut)
Lineage: Eukaryota; Metazoa; Chordata; Actinopteri; Pleuronectiformes; Pleuronectidae
Exons: 3
Source: RefSeq, a predicted model, not a curated record